UAAGGAAUAUUGGUCAAUGGACGCAAGUCUGAACCAGCCAUGCCGCGUGAAGGAUGAAGGUCCUCUGGAUUGUAAACUUCUUUUAUCUGGGACGAAAACGGGAUUUUUAUCUCAAUUGACGGUACCAGAGGAAUAAGCACCGGCUAACUCCGUGCCAGCAGCCGCGGUAAUACGGAGGGUGCGAGCGUUAUCCGGAUUUACUGGGUUUAAAGGGUGCGUAGGUGGGCUUAUAAGUCAGUGGUGAAAUCUCCGAGCUUAACUUGGAAACUGCCGUUGAUACUAUUUGUCUUGAAUAUUGCGGGGGUAAGCGGAAUAUGUCAUGUAGCGGUGAAAUGCUUAGAUAUGACAUAGAACACCAAUUGCGAAGGCAGCUUACUACACAAUCAUUGACACUGAGGCACGAAAGCGUGGGUAGCGAACA
This 421-nucleotide ribosomal RNA is filed under the name uncultured bacterium. Its description in RNAcentral is "bacterial SSU rRNA". It matches the Rfam family "Bacterial small subunit ribosomal RNA", at positions 355 to 774 of the family's 1533-position model. The record is from RNAcentral.